Molecule: small RNA, 25 nt
Filed under: Arabidopsis thaliana (thale cress)
Lineage: Eukaryota; Viridiplantae; Streptophyta; Magnoliopsida; Brassicales; Brassicaceae
Description: ATSL248900
Source: RNAcentral
UCAGUUGAUGAGCAAAUACUGCCAC